RNAcentral lists this ribosomal RNA (253 nucleotides) under uncultured bacterium. RNAcentral describes it as "partial 16S ribosomal RNA". It matches the Rfam family "Bacterial small subunit ribosomal RNA", at positions 524 to 776 of the family's 1533-position model. The record is from RNAcentral.
UACGGAGGGUGCAAGCGUUAUCCGGAUUCACUGGGUUUAAAGGGUGCGUAGGCGGGUAAGUAAGUCCGUGGUGAAAUCUCUGAGCUUAACUCAGAAACUGCCGUGGAUACUAUUUGCCUUGAAUAUUGUGGAGGUGAGCGGAAUAUGUCAUGUAGCGGUGAAAUGCUUAGAUAUGACAUAGAACACCAAUUGCGAAGGCAGCUCACUACACAAUCAUUGACUGACGUGAGCGAAAGCGUGGGGAUCAAACAGG